CCACACAGGUUUAAUUUAUUUAUCUGCCUCCCCCAGCCCAGGAGGGACCAGGAACGUGGGGUUAGGUCCAAUGGGCUUAGCUCCAGAGGCUGGUCCCAGCUCCCGGGGCCGGUCCCAGCUCCCGGGGGGCCGGUCCCAGCUCCCGGGGGCAGUCCCAGCUCCGGGGGCCGGUCCCAGCUCCGGGGCCGGUCCCAGCUCCCGGGGCCGGUCCCAGCACAGGCUCAGCUCUCGGGGCCGGGCGCGUUCUCCCGCUCACGGCGGUGCUGGAGCAUCCUCUGCACACGGACGCUGCACAGGUACCCGGCGUACACCGUCAGCAGCAUCAUGGAGCCCGAGAAGGCCUU
Molecule: long non-coding RNA, 344 nt
Organism: Prinia subflava (tawny-flanked prinia)
Lineage: Eukaryota; Metazoa; Chordata; Aves; Passeriformes; Cisticolidae
Exons: 3
Source: RefSeq, a predicted model, not a curated record